Molecule: ribosomal RNA, 253 nt
Filed under: uncultured bacterium
Lineage: Bacteria
Description: partial 16S ribosomal RNA
Rfam family: Bacterial small subunit ribosomal RNA
Source: RNAcentral
UACGGGGGGGGCAAGCGUUGUUCGGAAUUACUGGGCGUAAAGGGUUCGUAGGUGGCCGGCUAAGUCAGACGUGAAAUCCCUCAGCUUAACUGGGGAACUGCGUCUGAGACUGGUCGGCUCGAGGGCAGGAGAGGAACGUGGAAUUCCAGGUGUAGCGGUGAAAUGCGUAGAUAUCUGGAGGAACACCGGUGGCGAAGGCGGCAUUCUGGACUGUAACUGACACUGAGGAACGAAAGCCAGGGGAGCAAACGGG